AAUUUUCGUGGGGGUUUAAUUUCCCUUGAGGUACAAAGUGAAACAGGAAUUUACUCCCACCACAAAAUGUAAUUUUUCACAAUAACAACUCAGCAAUUUUUCAUCCAUGCAUAAAUCCAUAUUUUUCCUUCAAAUCACAAAAAUUUAAUUUGACUCCACGAAAAUAUGUGAUUUAAUUUACAGUGUAUAUUUAUCAGUAUGGGUUAUGUGUAAAUAUUCAGUGAUUGUGUGUCUGUCAGUGUCGAUGUCACUUCCUGCUUAGUAGAUGGAGACCAAUUAUCUGGUCUUUCAAGUUUUUUUUCUUAGUCCAGUUAAGUUUGAGAUAACAAGGUUUGACUGUACUUUCCCUUUAGAAUUAAAAGUCAUCAUAGAUAAUGUUGAUAAAUGUCAAAGAUCACCAUCGCUAUAGACCACAACCAUCUGGUGGCUAUUCAUUUAAAUGUCUUCUAAAUCUAAACUGUAAUUUUUCAAAUUGUAUGGAAAGUUCUUUGUGACUAAAUUAUGACAUAUUUCAAAAUUGAAGUCUCCAGAUUUUUUGGUGUAUAAUUUUCAUACCAAAACUUGUCUAAAUCAACAUUAUUAUAAUCAUUUGUUUGAUUGUCUUCAAGGUACUUCUUGGGAUUGUUUCAAAUAGGUAAAUGGGUAUUAAAGGGGAGGGGCAUGCUAAUGAUAAACUUUUUGCUAGUAUUUUGUCAGGGUGUGAGUCACUAUCCAGUCUUUCAGGAUCUUCCUUAAGAUAGACUUUCCAGUUCAUUCCAGGCAUUUUCUCUUCUGUAAUGCCAUAGAAUUAUGGCUUCAAUUUGUGUAAGUAUAUGAAAUUUCAUGUUUAAGUUAAAAAUUGCAUUGAAAGUCAUGAUCAGUCUUUCUGGCUAUUCUAUAAUACAAUUAAGCUAUCAGAUUUUCUGAAUUCUUCCCAAAUUCCAUUAUACCGGUUAGCCUUAAGAGUUUUGAGUAGAUAAUCAAAAUGAAAACACGAUCAUAUACCUUUAUGUUUUUUGUGAGAGAACAUGCAGAAGGUUAGGCUAGCCUGGAUUCCAUGUAUAGGAGAGUUGAUAAUGUGCUUCUGCCAGAAUGACAAGGCCAAAGGUACUGAUUGACUGCUGUCCAACCUAGUAGUUAUGGAAGAGAGUUGAUUGGCAUCCAUUCCCAGUUUUACAUCAGCCUGUCAGAUGAGUCCCAAUAGGAAAGGUUGACUAUGGCAAACUGAUGUUAGGAAGAGGGAUUGGCUAGUCUAGACCUAGCAGUCAAGAGGAACAUACCACCCAAUAAACUGAUACUAACCUUGAAAGAUGCAAUUGCCCAUCAGAAACAGGAGGAAAUUGAGCCACUUAACAGGCAAAGAGUCUGAGAAAAGGUUUUGAUUUUGUCUGUAUAAAAAACAGAUAUGAGGUUAGCUGAAUUGUUAUUGUUGCACAUUUUUCUGUCCCUAGCUAUCCCCUUCUAACACAAACCAGUUUAUUUUGAUCAGUAUACAUACAUACUUGCAUUAACUAUUUGCAAUAUCACUGAGCUCCUACGAUCAUACUCGAACAUUAAAAAUCAUUAGAGUUGUCUCCCCCAUUACCUGGAACUCUUCACUACUUCAGUUUAUGUUCGGGCACUGACAUUUAUGGCAGUUUAUUGUAGCAUGGUUUGAGAAUUGAAGGUUUUUGAUUUGCCUGUG
Long non-coding RNA from Saccostrea echinata, 1663 nucleotides. RefSeq lists it as uncharacterized. The record is from RefSeq and is a predicted model, not a curated record. The transcript has 4 exons. NCBI's taxonomy places the organism in Eukaryota, Metazoa, Mollusca, Bivalvia, Ostreida, Ostreidae.